RNAcentral lists this ribosomal RNA (459 nucleotides) under uncultured bacterium. Its description in RNAcentral is "partial 16S ribosomal RNA". It matches the Rfam family "Bacterial small subunit ribosomal RNA", at positions 338 to 795 of the family's 1533-position model. The record is from RNAcentral.
CCUACGGGGGGCUGCAGUGAGGAAUAUUGGUCAAUGGCCGGAAGGCUGAACCAGCCAAGCCGCGUGAGGGAGGAAGGCGCAGAGCGUCGCAGACCUCUUUUGCCGGGGGACAAAAGGCCGGAAGGGUCCGGUUCUGAGGGUACCCGGAGAAAAAGCAUCGGCUAACUCCGUGCCAGCAGCCGCGGUAAUACGGAGGAUGCGAGCGUUAUCCGGAUUCAUUGGGUUUAAAGGGUGCGCAGGCGGGCCUUUAAGUCGGCGGUGAAAUCGCGGGGCUCAACCCCGCCGGGCCGUCGGAACUGGGGGCCUUGAGUGCAGCGGAGGCAUGCGGAAUACGUGGUGUAGCGGUGAAAUGCAUAGAUAUCGCGCAGAACCCCGAUUGCGAAGGCAGCGUGCCGUGCCGCCACUGACGCUGAGGCACGAAAGCGCGGGGAUCGAACAGGAUUAGAUACCCCAGUAGUC